This 664-nucleotide ribosomal RNA is filed under the name Bordetella bronchiseptica. RNAcentral's name for it is "bacterial SSU rRNA". It matches the Rfam family "Bacterial small subunit ribosomal RNA", at positions 624 to 1292 of the family's 1533-position model. The record is from RNAcentral. Lineage: Bacteria; Pseudomonadati; Pseudomonadota; Betaproteobacteria; Burkholderiales; Alcaligenaceae.
CAUUUUUAACUACCGGACUAGAGUGUGUCAGAGGGGGGUGGAAUUCCGCGUGUAGCAGUGAAAUGCGUAGAGAUGCGGAGGAACACCGAUGGCGAAGGCAGCCCCCUGGGAUAACACUGACGCUCAUGUACGAAAGCGUGGGUAGCAAACAGGAUUAGAUACCCUGGUAGUCCACGCCCUAAACGAUGUCAACUAGCUGUUGGGGCCUUCGGGCCUUAGUAGCGCAGCUAACGCGUGAAGUUGACCGCCUGGGGAGUACGGUCGCAAGAUUAAAACUCAAAGGAAUUGACGGGGACCCGCACAAGCGGUGGAUGAUGUGGAUUAAUUCGAUGCAACGCGAAAAACCUUACCUACCCUUGACAUGUCUGGAAUCCUUUAGAGAUAGAGGAGUGCUSGCAAGAGAACCGGAACACAGGUGCUGCAUGGCUGUCGUCAGCUCGUGUCGUGAGAUGUUGGGUUAAGUCCCGCAACGAGCGCAACCCUUGUCAUUAGUUGCUACGAAAGGGCACUCUAAUGAGACUGCCGGUGACAAACCGGAGGAAGGUGGGGAUGACGUCAAGUCCUCAUGGCCCUUAUGGGUAGGGCUUCACACGUCAUACAAUGGUCGGGACAGAGGGUCGCCAACCCGCGAGGGGGAGCCAAUCCCAGAAACCCCUAUCUCAGA